Molecule: ribosomal RNA, 1000 nt
Filed under: Microbacterium testaceum
Lineage: Bacteria; Bacillati; Actinomycetota; Actinomycetes; Micrococcales; Microbacteriaceae
Description: bacterial SSU rRNA
Rfam family: Bacterial small subunit ribosomal RNA
Source: RNAcentral
GCAGGGAAGAAGCGAAAGUGACGGUACUGCAGAAAAGCGCGGCUAACUACGUGCCAGCAGCCGCGGUAAUACGUAGGGCGCAGCGUAUCGGAAUUAUUGGGCGUAAAGAGCUCGUAGGCGGUUUGUCGCGUCUGCUGUGAAAACCCGAGGCUCAACCUCGGGCUGCAGUGGGUACGGGCAGACUAGAGUGCGGUAGGGGAGAUUGGAAUUCCUGGUGUAGCGGUGGAAUGCGCAGAUAUCAGGAGGAACACCGAUGGCGAAGGCAGAUCUCUGGGCCGUAACUGACGCUGAGGAGCGAAAGGGUGGGGAGCAAACAGGCUUAGAUACCCUGGUAGUCCACCCCGUAAACGUUGGGAACUAGUUGUGGGGACCAUUCCACGGUUUCCGUGACGCAGCUAACGCAUUAAGUUCCCCGCCUGGGGAGUACGGCCGCAAGGCUAAAACUCAAAGGAAUUGACGGGGACCCGCACAAGCGGCGGAGCAUGCGGAUUAAUUCGAUGCAACGCGAAGAACCUUACCAAGGCUUGACAUAUACGAGAACGGGCCAGAAAUGGUCAACUCUUUGGACACUCGUAAACAGGUGGUGCAUGGUUGUCGUCAGCUCGUGUCGUGAGAUGUUGGGUUAAGUCCCGCAACGAGCGCAACCCUCGUUCUAUGUUGCCAGCACGUAAUGGUGGGAACUCAUGGGAUACUGCCGGGGUCAACUCGGAGGAAGGUGGGGAUGACGUCAAAUCAUCAUGCCCCUUAUGUCUUGGGCUUCACGCAUGCUACAAUGGCCGGUACAAAGGGCUGCAAUACCGUAAGGUGGAGCGAAUCCCAAAAAGCCGGUCCCAGUUCGGAUUGAGGUCUGCAACUCGACCUCAUGAAGUCGGAGUCGCUAGUAAUCGCAGAUCAGCAACGCUGCGGUGAAUACGUUCCCGGGUCUUGUACACACCGCCCGUCAAGUCAUGAAAGUCGGUAACACCUGAAGCCGGUGGCCUCAACCCUUGGGAGGGGAAGU